GAUGAACGCUGGCGGCGUGCCUAAUACAUGCAAGUCGAGCGAACAGACGAGGAGCUUUCUCCUCUGACGUUAGCGGCGGACGGGUGAGUAACACGUGGAUAACCUACCUAUAAGACUUGGAUAAUUUCGUGAAACCGGAUCUAAUACCGGAUAAUAUAUUGAACCGCAUGGUUCAAUAGUUAAAGACGGUUUUGCUGUCACUUAUAGAUGAAUCCGCGUCGCAUUAGCUAGUUGGUAAGGUAACGGCUUACCAAGGCGACGAUGCGUAGCCGACCUGAGAGGGUGAUCGGCCACACUGGAACUGAGACACGGUCCAGACUCCUACGGGAGGCAGCAGUAGGGAAUAUUCCGCAAUGGGCGAAAGCCUGACGGAGCAACGCCGCGUGAGUGAUGAAGGUCUUCGGAUCGUAAAACUCUGUUAUUAGGGAAGAAAAAAUGUGUAAGUAACUAUGCACGUCUUGACGGUACCUAAUCAGAAAGCCACGGCUAACUACGUG
RNAcentral lists this ribosomal RNA (497 nucleotides) under uncultured bacterium. RNAcentral's name for it is "partial 16S ribosomal RNA". It matches the Rfam family "Bacterial small subunit ribosomal RNA", at positions 28 to 507 of the family's 1533-position model. The record is from RNAcentral.